UACAGAGGUGGCAAGCGUUGUUCGGAAUUACUGGGCGUAAAGCGCGUGUAGGCUGCUUCGCAAGUCGGAUGUGAAAGCCCUGGGCUCAACCCAGGAAGUGCAUUCGAAACUGCAAAGCUGGAGUCCUGGAGAGGAAGGCGGAAUUCUCGGUGUAGAGGUGAAAUUCGUAGAUAUCGAGAGGAACACCGGUGGCGAAGGCGGCCUUCUGGACAGUGACUGACGCUGAGACGCGAAAGCGUGGGGAGCAAACAGG
RNAcentral lists this ribosomal RNA (253 nucleotides) under uncultured bacterium. RNAcentral's name for it is "partial 16S ribosomal RNA". It matches the Rfam family "Bacterial small subunit ribosomal RNA", at positions 524 to 776 of the family's 1533-position model. The record is from RNAcentral.